RNAcentral lists this ribosomal RNA (730 nucleotides) under uncultured bacterium. Its description in RNAcentral is "bacterial SSU rRNA". It matches the Rfam family "Bacterial small subunit ribosomal RNA", at positions 771 to 1501 of the family's 1533-position model. The record is from RNAcentral.
AACAGGAUUAGAUACCCUGGUAGUCCACGCCGUAAACGAUGUCGACUUGGAGGUUGUGCCCUUGAGGCGUGGCUUCCGGAGCUAACGCGUUAAGUCGACCGCCUGGGGAGUACGGCCGCAAGGUUAAAACUCAAAUGAAUUGACGGGGGCCCGCACAAGCGGUGGAGCAUGUGGUUUAAUUCGAUGCAACGCGAAGAACCUUACCUGGCCUUGACAUCCAGAGAACUUAGCAGAGAUGCUUUGGUGCCUUCGGGAACUCUGAGACAGGUGCUGCAUGGCUGUCGUCAGCUCGUGUUGUGAAAUGUUGGGUUAAGUCCCGCAACGAGCGCAACCCUUAUCCUUUGUUGCCAGCGGUUCGGCCGGGAACUCAAAGGAGACUGCCAGUGAUAAACUGGAGGAAGGUGGGGAUGACGUCAAGUCAUCAUGGCCCUUACGAGUAGGGCUACACACGUGCUACAAUGGCGCAUACAAAGAGAAGCGACCUCGCGAGAGCAAGCGGACCUCAUAAAGUGCGUCGUAGUCCGGAUCGGAGUCUGCAACUCGACUCCGUGAAGUCGGAAUCGCUAGUAAUCGUAGAUCAGAAUGCUACGGUGAAUACGUUCCCGGGCCUUGUACACACCGCCCGUCACACCAUGGGAGUGGGUUGCAAAAGAAGUAGGUAGCUUAACCUUCGGGAGGGCGCUUACCACUUUGUGAUUCAUGACUGGGGUGAAGUCGUAACAAGGUAACC